Molecule: ribosomal RNA, 113 nt
Filed under: uncultured eukaryote
Lineage: Eukaryota
Description: partial small subunit ribosomal RNA
Rfam family: Eukaryotic small subunit ribosomal RNA
Source: RNAcentral
UCGCUCCUACCGAUUGAAUGAUCCGGUAAAGUCUUUGGACUGCGGCUUUUUCGAGGAGCAAUCCUUGUAAAGUUGUGGGAAGUUGAUUAAACCUUAUCAUUUAGAGGAAGGAG